Molecule: transfer RNA, 85 nt
Filed under: Chloroflexota bacterium
Lineage: Bacteria; Bacillati; Chloroflexota
Description: tRNA-Tyr
Rfam family: tRNA
About the family: Transfer RNA (tRNA) molecules are approximately 80 nucleotides in length. Their secondary structure includes four short double-helical elements and three loops (D, anti-codon, and T loops). Further hydrogen bonds mediate the characteristic L-shaped molecular structure. tRNAs have two regions of fundamental functional importance: the anti-codon, which is responsible for specific mRNA codon recognition, and the 3' end, to which the tRNAs corresponding amino acid is attached (by aminoacyl-tRNA synthetases). tRNAs cope with the degeneracy of the genetic code in two manners: having more than one tRNA (with a specific anti-codon) for a particular amino acid; and 'wobble' base-pairing, i.e. permitting non-standard base-pairing at the 3rd anti-codon position.
Source: RNAcentral
GGGUCGGUGUCCCGAGCGGCAAAGGGGACGGACUGUAAAUCCGUUGGCGUAGCCUUCGCUGGUUCGAGUCCAGCCCGGCCCACCU